GACGAACGCUGGCGGCGUGCCUAAUACAUGCAAGUAGAACGCUGAAGAGAGGUGUUUGCUCUUCUUGGUUGAGUUGCGAACGGGAGAGUAACGUGUAUGUGACCUGCCUGGUAGCGGGGGGUAACUAUUGGAAACGAUCGCUAAUACCGCAUAAUAUGGCUUAUCGCAUGAUAAUCCAUUGAAAGGUGCAAGUGCAUGAGUACCUGAUGGACCUGCGUUGUAUUCGCUAGCUGGUGGGGUAACGGGUCACCGAGGGGACGCUACAUAGCCGACCAGAGAGGGUGAGCGGCCACGCUGGGACGGAGACACGGCCCAGCCCCCUGCGGGGGGGAGCAGUAGGGAACCUCCGGGAAUGGGCGGAGGGGUGACCGUUCGACGCCGCGGGAGUGAAGAAGGUUGUCGGGUCGGAUAGCUCAGUUAUGAGAGAGGAACGAGUGGGAGUGUGGGAAGUGCACACAGUGACGGUACCUUAACAAGAAGCCACGGCUAACUACGUG
This 497-nucleotide ribosomal RNA is filed under the name uncultured bacterium. RNAcentral's name for it is "partial 16S ribosomal RNA". It matches the Rfam family "Bacterial small subunit ribosomal RNA", at positions 28 to 507 of the family's 1533-position model. The record is from RNAcentral.